GCGGAAGUCAGGGGUUUUUAAUCUCCCGCCCACGUCAACACGAAGGCGAGUGAAGAAGACGACAGAAGAGACUCGGCCUUCCUCGCUUCAUGGCGGACCCCCACUUCCCUCCUCAACUCGCUUUAAGUUCCUGAUCGCCAAAUGAAUCAUAGAUCCAACCUCUUGCACCCCAGAGGGAGAGCGGUGAGCCGGCGUACAGUCCUGACCAAUCUGUGAGGGCCAGAGUGACGUCCAAUGGGACCUUGGCUGCACUCUUCUUCCCAGCAAGGCUAACCACCUCCUCAGCUUCCUGACAGUUCCAGCUUCGCCCUCUCUCCACUUUACCCCUCCUGCCCCUCCCCAAAUCUCUCGAGAGACCCCCCCUAUGGAGAAUACUGCUCAGAUCCAAAACCCCCCGCCAAAGCCCGCCCUAAUCCUCUCCAUCGAUCGCCCUGAGAAUUUCCUCCCUGGCGCAGCAGGCGCCGCUCCCCGCCAUCCACACUCCUCGACCCCCCCGAGCAGGCAGCUCUUUUCAUUUAGAGACAAAAUAGGUGCAGGCACAUUACCUGCGUCCACUCUCAUCUUCCUCCACGCUGGUUGAUGAGGUGGUUAUAGCGGGCGGCAUGUUGCUCUGCUGUUCUUUCAAUUCGCUUGGACAGGAGUCAAGCACGUCUCGCUGUAAACAGUUUUCUCUAGCGCAAGCAAUUUUGGAGCACAGGCUUCGUCGUCUAUGUUGUCUACGAGAACCCAAAUUCCUCCAAGCAGUUGUUUGGUAUUGACAAAUAUUGUGAUGGUAACCAAAAUAGGUGAAGUGUACCUGUUACUAAACGAUCAGUACUGGAAGACGACAAUCUCUCUAAGCAUGUGCAAGGACUACGUCACUUUCGGUCAACUUAUUUUAAGGUAGUUACAUUUGUGCACGCUGUCACUGUUACAAUGGUUUUCAUUUAAAGAGGUAAUAUUAUGGUUUUCUUUUAAACACUUCCUUGUAGGGUACACAACAUGUAAUAGUGGUUAUUUGGUUAAAAUCUUGCAUAGAGUAGGUUUCACAGAUCAUCUUCAAGUUACUUUCUGUCUCUUCAGGAUGCGCUGUUUAGUGAGCAGUCUUAUUUACGUGUAUCUACUUUGACUGCGUCUUUUCUCGUUCAGCCAUGUUGUAGUUUUAGCGCUUUUUUAUCAAGUCUACUGACCGAUAUGAGUCAGAACUAGUUUUAAUUUGCACAGCUGUUUUUCAUUUAGUUUUACUCAUUGUCUUUUGACGAAAAUGUGUUUAAGUCGACAAAUUUCUUCACUAUUUUAGUCGAUAUAAAGUAUUGCGCACAACGCAUCUUUGAAGUUGUCUUGAAAGCAAUUUUAAUAAAUAUUUUUGCAGAGCAUCUCAAAAACUAAAGUCACAACAAUAUUUCAAUAAGUACAUUUCACACUAAACCUGAUUGUGUGUUAUUGUUUUAACUGAAAUUUAGCAUAUUUUUCAAAUGUUUAAUAAUACAUGACUAAAAUGGUCACAUGAAGAAACAAACUAAUUUUAUUCUAGAUUGGCGGGCAAGCUCACCUAUGUGUACAACAAAAGUAGUGGUAGAGUAAGCAGUCUUGCUCUUUCUCUACUGUCUUUAAUAGUAGCAGUAAUUAGUACAGUAUGAGACAUUUGGAAAUAUUAGUUAAGGCCUACUUACUGUUGCGUAGAUGUCCUGAUGAUUAGCCUGAAGGAGACGCUUCAAGUUGGUUAUGGUUAGGGUUGCGUAGAUGUCCUGAUGAUUUGCCUGAGGAAGAUGCUUCAAGUUGGUUAGGGUUAGGGUAAUCCUAAACCUAUCCCUAACCCAUAACCCUCUAUCAUGACCUACAUGUCAAAGAAAGGAAAAAUAAAUAUUUCUUAGAAAAGUAAUAAAAUCAUGGAAUUGCCUUAGUUUUGUUUCUUCGUUUGUUAGUGUCAGAAAAAUUGUAUUUAAAUUAUCAAAAAACUUUCCGUUCUGAGUUCUCAAUGAACAGACAAGAAGCAUUCUUUGUUGCACCAAGCCAAACGCUUGAAAGAUUCCGCUGUGGACGAUGGAAUGAGACGGGAGGGGUCAUCCAUUGUCCUCGAAAACCUGCCCAAGCUGAAUCCAGGACGAACCUAAGCCCGAGGGAUCUUCUUCUUUUGUCUUCAAUGUGACCGAAAACAAGGACUGUUUACAUACUCCCCAUUCCUGCUGAGACAGGUGUUGUUGCGUAAACAUUGAACAUCUGAAUAAAAGAGGAGACGAAAACCUUCUUCGUCAGAGUGUGGUGCAGGACUGUACAGAGAGUGCAGUGGCCAUGUCCAUCCAUCCAUCCAUUUUCUACCGCUUAUUCCCUUUGGGGUCGCGGGGGGCGCUGGAGCCUAUCUCAGCUACAAUCGGGCGGAAGGCGGGGUACACCCUAGACAAGUCGCCACUUCACCGCAGGGCCAACACAGAUAGACAGACAACAUUCACACUCACAUUCACACACUAGAGCCAAUUUAGUGUUGCCAAUCAACUCAUCCCCAGGUGCAUGUCUUUGGAGGUGGGAGGAAGCCGGAGUACCCGGAGGGAACCCACGCAGUCACGGGGAGGACAUGCAAACUCCACACAGAAAGAUCCCGAGCCCGGGAUUGAACCCAAGACUACUCGGGACCUUCGUAUUGUGAGGCAGAUGCACUAACCCCUCUGCCACCGUGAAGCCAGAGCGUGGUGCAGGACUGUACAGAGAGUGCAGUGGCCAUGUCUCUCCUCAAUAUUGAGUCCAAAUUGAAUUCUGUCUCUGUUUGAUUCCUUGCCUUUUGUCUUGUUUAAUAGAUGUCCUCAGUGUUUGAACGUGACAUCUUAUUGGUCCUUCGAGCCGGAUUCCAACACGUCUGACGAUUCCAGCAAGAAUGAGUGAAACCAGAAAGACCAUGGCAUCCAAAUCCUGAUUGAGGAACUGCUUUUUCUUCAUUUCGGGCUGGAAUUGAAAGACUGACGGAAAAUCCGAGGAUAAGAGGAAGGAACGCAGAGAGCAGUGAGUACGUUUUAAAUUGACGAAGAAAGAAACGACUAAGAAAAAGCGUGUGACUGAGGGUUACGACGCAUAGACAAACCCUGUAAAUCCUAGGCUCUAACAGGUAAAAAGGCCAAAUAAUUAGAGGGACGUCGGAGUCCAACGUCCGUGAGUAUUAAAAUUUUAAAUAAAAACUGAAUUAAAAUAAAAACUGAAGAGGCCAAAAUACUGCAGGUAAACGGAACCGCGAAAACUGGAAUCCGUAAUAUCCAUAAACAAACAUACUAGGGGGUGUCGGGGCCCACAAUAAUUUGAAAUAUCCGUGAACCAUUAUCCUGAGGACGACGGCGUCCAAUGCAGACCUAAAAUGGUCUAUUCAGAAUAAAAAACUGAAUUUUGUCCGUAAAAAACAAUAACCUGGAGGGCGACUGAGUCCUCAUGAAACAUUGAAAUUUCCGUAGAUCAAUAUACUGAAAGGUGUGAAUGUGAGAGUGUGUGGAGUUAUCGCCAUUAGGCUAUCACUCCAUAUUAAAGUUGUGAGAAGUAAAUAGUGGGUUAUUGUGGAUGCUCUAGGCAAGACACCUCCACUGGGGAACCAUCUCCAGUAGAAGCGACGUGUACCACAAUAAUAAAUUAAACCACUAUCUUACAACAAAAACAAAAGUAAUCCUUAUAAAUUCGGCUCUGUAGGGGACGACGGAUUACUCCAAAUUCUCAAAAUGGAAAGAGGAACCCAAAGAAACGCAGAUCUAAUAUGGUCUACUACAAUCUAUUUCAACCAAAAUAGGAGACCACAACAAAGACAGCGGUUACACUCUACUGCGUGUUGGCGUUGUGGCAAAGAGGGGCAUUUUGCAAGAAACUGUCCUGAGAAAAAAAAUAAAAUUUUAACAAUCAAAGUAACUCAGCAUGACUGUUAAAAGACAACACCAAUUAGUCAUGUUGUCAGCGUAUGCCAUUGGUGGUAAGAUCGCUGCAAAUGUGUGUGUGUGUUUGUUUGUUUGUUUGUUAGUGUGUGUUUAAGUGUGUAUCUUUCCAGGUACAAAUUGUGUAAAAACCCCGGAGGUUCAAAUAAAAAUAAAAAUAGGUUAAAAGAAAAAGCAAAUAGGAGAAAAAUCUCAAAGUGCUAAAAUGAGAUAAAAGAAAAAAUAGAUGAAGAAAUCAAUAAGAAGAAUUAAUGCAAAAUGGAAUAAACUAAUGUGUACGACAGAGAUAAUGGGGGUAUUGAAAUAAGAGAUGAAGAAAAGGUAGACUGAAGAUAUACAUGUAUGUUUGGAUAUAUAAAGAGCGCUUUUAUAUAUACAAAUAUAUAUAUGUAUAAUUAAAUAAUGGAACAAAUAAAAACCUAGAUUAAUAACUAUAAUAAGAGUUGAUGUAUAGUAUGAUAAAAUGGGUUAUAUGUUUAUUAGCUGAGGAAAGAAGAGAGAAAAAAGAAGAGAAAUCUCUUCAAGUGUUGCUGACCUUUGCCCUUAGGAGUGCAGUGUGUGUGUGUGCGUGGCGCAGUGGGGGAGGUGUGAAAGUGAAUUUAUUACAUGUAAAUUUAAAGUAGGUUUACCUUUGAAGUGUAGUAUAACAUUCUUAGGUUAGAUUAUGUUUUAGACAUUUGCAACACCAUACAUCUGAGUGUUGAGCUAAGAUAAGGACAUAACAUAGAAUAAAUAAGGAGGUAUGGCAAUCAGGAAAACUAUCAGCUAGCGAUAGACAACCGUUUGCUUUGAAUAUUAUUGAAUAGUAAUUGCAAAUAAGAAAUAUAAACAAUGGGAAAAAUGUAAAUUCAGAGUUUAAAAGUAUAGAUUAAGUGGCAUAUAGACAGUUAAGUGAGUUUAAAACAUUACUUAAAAAAUACAUAAAGUAAUAUGUAUAACAUUUGAAUUAGGAGGAAAAAUAACAUUAGCGUUAUUAAAUCAUCUACAUAGUGAAAGACACAAAAUAAGCAAAAUAAAAGUCAAAUUAUGCAAAUGAGAAGUAAAGGAUCUCGAACGUUCUCUAAACAAAAAUGGACGCACUAUUGUGGAAAAUAGAAAAACAAAGUACGACAAGUACAAAAACCACAAACAAAGAAGCAAAUUAUGUAAUUUUUAGGAUUAACGAAUUAUUGUAGAAGUUGAAUACCAAAUUAUGCUGAAAUAGUAGCCCCUUUAAGUAAAUUAAUGAAAAAUGUAAUCAU
Long non-coding RNA from Nerophis lumbriciformis (worm pipefish), 5119 nucleotides. RefSeq lists it as uncharacterized. The record is from RefSeq and is a predicted model, not a curated record. NCBI's taxonomy places the organism in Eukaryota, Metazoa, Chordata, Actinopteri, Syngnathiformes, Syngnathidae.